CCCUACGGGGCGCAGCAGGCGGAAUGAUAAGUCAGUGGUGAAAUCCUACGGCUCAACUGUAGAACUGCCAUUGAUACUGUUGUUCUUGAGUACACUUGGAGUGGGCGGAAUGUGUCAUGUAGCGGUGAAAUGCUUAGAUAUGACACAGAACACCGAUCGCGAAGGCAGCUCACUAAGUUGUAACUGACGCUCAGGCACGAAAGCGUGGGGAUCAAACA
Molecule: ribosomal RNA, 218 nt
Filed under: uncultured prokaryote
Description: partial 16S ribosomal RNA
Rfam family: Bacterial small subunit ribosomal RNA
Source: RNAcentral